GUGAACUCGAAGAGUAGGGCGGGACACGUGGUAUCCUGUCUGAAUAUGGGGGGACCAUCCUCCAAGGCUAAAUACUCCUGACUGACCGAUAGUGAACCAGUACCGUGAGGGAAAGGCGAAAAGAACCCCGGCGAGGGGAGUGAAAAAGAACCUGAAACCGUGUACGUACAAGCAGUGGGAGCACCUUCGGGUGUGACUGCGUACCUUUUGUAUAAUGGGUCAGCGACUUAUAUUCUGUAGCAAGGUUAACCGUAUAGGGGAGCCGCAGGGAAACCGAGUCUUAACUGGGCGUUAAGUUGCAGGGUAUAGACCCGAAACCCGGUGAUCUAGCCAUGGGCAGGUUGAAGGUUGGGUAACACUAACUGGAGGACCGAACCGACUAAUGUUGAAAAAUUAGCGGAUGACUUGUGGCUGGGGGUGAAAGGCCAAUCAAACCGGGAGAUAGCUGGUUCUCCCCGAAAGCUAUUUAGGUAGCGCCUCGUGAACUCAUCUUCGGGGGUAGAGCACUGUUUCGGCUAGGGGGUCAUCCCGACUUACCAACCCGAUGCAAACUACGAAUACCGAAGAAUGUUAUCACGGGAGACACACGGCGGGUGCUAACGUCCGUCGUGAAGAGGGAAACAACCCAGACCGCCAGCUAAGGUCCCAAAGUCAUGGUUAAGUGGGAAACGAUGUGGGAAGGCACAGACAGCCAGGAUGUUGGCUUAGAAGCAGCCAUCAUUUAAAGAAAGCGUAAUAGCUCACUGGUCGAGUCGGCCUGCGCGGAAGAUGUAACGGGGCUAAACCAUGCACCGAAGCUGCGGCAGCGACACUAUGUGUUGUUGGGUAGGGGAGCGUUCUGUAAGCCUGCGAAGGUGUGCUGUGAGGCAUGCUGGAGGUAUCAGAAGUGCGAAUGCUGACAUAAGUAACGAUAAAGCGGGUGAAAAGCCCGCUCGCCGGAAGACCAAGGGUUCCUGUCCAACGUUAAUCGGGGCAGGGUGAGUCGACCCCUAAGGCGAGGCCGAAAGGCGUAGUCGAUGGGAAACAGGUUAAUAUUCCUGUACUUGGUGUUACUGCGAAGGGGGGACGGAGAAGGCUAUGUUAGCCGGGCGACGGUUGUCCCGGUUUAAGCAUGUAGGCUGNAAAUCGUACCCCAAACCGACACAGGUGGUCAGGUAGAGAAUACCAAGGCGCUUGAGAGAACUCGGGUGAAGGAACUAGGCAAAAUGGUGCCGUAACUUCGGGAGAAGGCACGCUGGUGUGUAGGUGAAGUCCCUGCGGAUGGAGCUGAGACCAGUCGAAGAUACCAGCUGGCUGCAACUGUUUAUUAAAAACACAGCACUGUGCAAACACGAAAGUGGACGUAUACGGUGUGACGCCUGCCCGGUGCCGGAAGGUUAAUUGAUGGGGUUAUCCGUAAGGAGAAGCUCUUGAUCGAAGCCCCGGUAAACGGCGGCCGUAACUAUAACGGUCCUAAGGUAGCGAAAUUCCUUGUCGGGUAAGUUCCGACCUGCACGAAUGGCGUAAUGAUGGCCAGGCUGUCUCCACCCGAGACUCAGUGAAAUUGAACUCGCUGUGAAGAUGCAGUGUACCCGCGGCAAGACGGAAAGACCCCGUGAACCUUUACUAUAGCUUGACACUGAACAUUGAGCCUUGAUGUGUAGGAUAGGUGGGAGGCUUUGAAGCGUGGACGCCAGUCUGCGUGGAGCCAACCUUGAAAUACCACCCUUUAAUGUUUGAUGUUCUAACGUUGGCCCCUGACCGGGGUUGCGGACAGUGUCUGGUGGGUAGUUUGACUGGGGCGGUCUCCUCCCAAAGCGUAACGGAGGAGCACGAAGGUUAGCUAAUCCUGGUCGGACAUCAGGAGGUUAGUGCAAUGGCAUAAGCUAGCUUGACUGCGAGCGUGACGGCGCGAGCAGGUGCGAAAGCAGGUCAUAGUGAUCCGGUGGUUCUGAAUGGAAGGGCCAUCGCUCAACGGAUAAAAGGUACUCCGGGGAUAACAGGCUGAUACCGCCCAAGAGUUCAUAUCGACGGCGGUGUUUGGCACCUCGAUGUCGGCUCAUCACAUCCUGGGGCUGAAGUAGGUCCCAAGGGUAUGGCUGUUCGCCAUUUAAAGUGGUACGCGAGCUGGGUUUAGAACGUCGUGAGACAGUUCGGUCCCUAUCUGCCGUGGGCGCUGGAGAAUUGAGGGGGGCUGCUCCUAGUACGAGAGGACCGGAGUGGACGCAUCACUGGUGUUCGGGUUGUCAUGCCAAUGGCACUGCCCGGUAGCUAAAUGCGGAAGAGAUAAGUGCUGAAAGCAUCUAAGCACGAAACUUGCCCCGAGAUGAGUUCUCCCUGAGACUUUAAGUCUCCUGAAGGAACGUUNGACGUUGAUAGGCCGGGUGUGUAAGCGCAGCGAUGCGUUGAGCUAACCGGUACUAAUGAACCGUGAGGCUUAACCUU
This 2424-nucleotide ribosomal RNA is filed under the name Klebsiella pneumoniae. RNAcentral describes it as "23S ribosomal RNA". It matches the Rfam family "Bacterial large subunit ribosomal RNA", at positions 399 to 2925 of the family's 2925-position model. The record is from RNAcentral. Lineage: Bacteria; Pseudomonadati; Pseudomonadota; Gammaproteobacteria; Enterobacterales; Enterobacteriaceae.